CAUACUAAUGUUUGGGAGUAGCCA
Molecule: non-coding RNA, 24 nt
Filed under: Arabidopsis thaliana (thale cress)
Lineage: Eukaryota; Viridiplantae; Streptophyta; Magnoliopsida; Brassicales; Brassicaceae
Source: RNAcentral